GACGAACGCUGGCGGCGUGCUUAACACAUGCAAGUCGAACGGAAAGGCCCUGCUUUUGUGGGGUGCUCGAGUGGCGAACGGGUGAGUAACACGUGAGUAACCUGCCCUUGACUUUGGGAUAACUUCAGGAAACUGGGGCUAAUACCGGAUAGGAGCUCCUGCCGCAUGGUGGGGGUUGGAAAGUUUCGGCGGUUGGGGAUGGACUCGCGGCUUAUCAGCUUGUUGGUGGGGUAGUGGCUUACCGAGGCUUUGACGGGUAGCCGGCCUGAGAGGGUGACCGGCCACAUUGGGACUGAGAUACGGCCCAGACUCCUACGGGAGGCAGCAGUGGGGAAUAUUGCACAAUGGGCGGAAGCCUGAUGCAGCAACGCCGCGUGCGGGAUGACGGCCUUCGGGUUGUAAACCGCUUUCGCCUGUGACGAAGCGUGAGUGACGGUAAUGGGUAAAGAAGCACCGGCUAACUACGUG
Molecule: ribosomal RNA, 468 nt
Filed under: uncultured bacterium
Lineage: Bacteria
Description: partial 16S ribosomal RNA
Rfam family: Bacterial small subunit ribosomal RNA
Source: RNAcentral